AACGAAGUAGCAAUACUCAGUGGCAGACGGGUGAGUAACAUGUAGGUAUCUACCCUUUGGCCUGGAAUAACACGAGGAAACUUGUGCUAAUACCGGAUAAGUCUUUACGGAGAAAGCUUUAUGCACCAUUGGAUGAGCCUGCACUUGAUUAGUUAGUUGGUGGGGUAAUGGCCUACCAAGACAUUGAUCAAUAGCUGAUUUGAGAGGAUGAUCAGCCACAUUGGGACUGAGACACGGCCCAAACUCCUACGGGAGGCAGCAGUGGGGAAUCUUGCACAAUGGAGGAAACUCUGAUGCAGCGAUGCCGCGUGAGUGAAGAAGGCCUUUGGGUUGUAAAGCUCUUUCGUCGGGGAAGAAAAUGACUGUACCCGAAUAAGAAGGUCCGGCUAACUUCGUGCCAGCAGCCGCGGUAAUACGAAGGGACCUAGCGUAGUUCGGAAUUACUGGGCUUAAAGAGUUCGUAGGUGGUUGAAAAAGUUGGUGGUGAAAUCCCAGAGCUUAACUCUGGAACUGCCAUCAAAACUUUUCAGCUAGAGUUUGAUAGAGGAAAGCAGAAUUUCUAGUGUAGAGGUGAAAUUCGUAGAUAUUAGAAAGAAUACCAAUUGCGAAGGCAGCUUUCUGGAUCAUUACUGACACUGAGGAACGAAAGCAUGGGUAGCGAAGAGGAUUA
Molecule: ribosomal RNA, 670 nt
Filed under: uncultured Alphaproteobacteria bacterium
Lineage: Bacteria; Pseudomonadati; Pseudomonadota; Alphaproteobacteria
Description: bacterial SSU rRNA
Rfam family: Bacterial small subunit ribosomal RNA
Source: RNAcentral